Molecule: ribosomal RNA, 508 nt
Filed under: uncultured bacterium
Lineage: Bacteria
Description: partial 16S ribosomal RNA
Rfam family: Bacterial small subunit ribosomal RNA
Source: RNAcentral
GACGAACGCUGGCGGCGCGCUUAACACAUGCAAGUCGAGCGAGAACCGGUCCUUCGGGACCGGGGAAAGCGGCGAACGGGUGAGUAACACGUGGGUAAUCUGCCCUCGGUUUCGGGAUAGCCCGGGGAAACCCGGAUUAAUACCGAAUGGCCCUUUCGGUCUUCGGAUUGAAAGGAAAAGGUAGCUUCGGCCUCCGACCGAGGAUGAGCCCGCGGCGGAUUAGCUUGUUGGUGGGUUAACGGCCUACCAAGGCGACGAUCCGUAGCUGGUCUGAGAGGACGAUCAGCCACACUGGGACUGAGACACGGCCCAGACUCCUACGGGAGGCAGCAGUGGGGAAUCUUGCGCAAUGGGCGAAAGCCUGACGCAGCGACGCCGCGUGCGGGAAGAAGGCCUUCGGGUUGUAAACCGCUUUCAGGUGGGACGAAGCCACUCGGGUGAAUAGCCCAGAGGGUGACGGUACCUCCAGAAGAAGUCCCGGCUAACUACGUGCCAGCAGCCGCCGUAA